Molecule: ribosomal RNA, 465 nt
Filed under: uncultured bacterium
Lineage: Bacteria
Description: partial 16S ribosomal RNA
Rfam family: Bacterial small subunit ribosomal RNA
Source: RNAcentral
AGCGAACGCUGGCGGCAUGCCUAACACAUGCAAGUCGCACGGGUCGGCUUCGGCCGGUUAGUGGCGGACGGGUGAGGAACGCGUUGGGUUCUGUCUUCGGGAGGUGGCUAUCCGCGGGAAACUGCGGCUAAGACCGCAUGCGGCGCCGGCGUGAGAGCUGUUAUCACAGGCGUGAAUCGCGAGGGGUGUAUUGGCGGGGGGUGAGCCUGCGCCCGCUUAGUUGGUUGGCGAGGUAGUGGCCCACCCAGGCGUCGACCGGUAGCUGGUCUGAGAGUGUGAUCAGCCACACUAGGACUGGGAGACGGCCCAGACUCCUACGGAAGGCAGCAAUGGGGAAUAUUGGACGAUGGGCGCGAGCCUGAUCCAGCAAGGCCGCGUGAGUGAGGAAGGUCUUCGGAUUGUAGAGCCCUGUCGGCGGGGACGAUAGUGACGGUACCCGCAGAAGAAGCCCCGGCUAACUUCGUG